This 497-nucleotide ribosomal RNA is filed under the name uncultured bacterium. Its description in RNAcentral is "partial 16S ribosomal RNA". It matches the Rfam family "Bacterial small subunit ribosomal RNA", at positions 28 to 507 of the family's 1533-position model. The record is from RNAcentral.
GAUGAACGCUGGCGGCGUGCCUAAUACAUGCAAGUCGAGCGAACAGAUGAGGAGCUUGCUCCUCUGACGUUAGCGGCGGACGCCCCCCUCACACGUGGAUAACCUACCUAUAAGACUGGGAUAACUUCGGGAAACCGGAGCUAAUACCAGAUAAUAUAUUGAACCGCAUGGUUCAAUAGUGAAAGACGGUUUUGCUGUCACUUAUAGAUGGAUCCGCGCCGCAUUAGCUAGUUGGUAAGGUAACGGCUUACCAAGGCAACGAUGCGUAGCCGACCUGAGAGGGUGAUCGGCCACACUGGAACUGAGACACGGUCCAGACUCCUACGGGAGGCAGCAGUAGGGAAUCUUCCGCAAUGGGCGAAAGCCUGACGGAGCAACGCCGCGUGAGUGAUGAAGGUCUUCGGAUCGUAAAACUCUGUUAUUAGGGAAGAACAAAUGUGUAAGUAACUAUGCACGUCUUGACGGUACCUAAUCAGAAAGCCACGGCUAACUACGUG